GAUGAACGCUGGCGGCGUGCCUAACACAUGCAAGUCGAACGGAGAUUACGGACGGUUGCUCUCGGAUCGAUGGCUGUAAUUCUUAGUGGCGCACGGGUGAGUAACGCGUGGGCAACCUGCCCUAUACAGGGGGAUAGCAGCUGGAAACGGCUGGUAAGACCGCCUACGUCGGCGAGACCGCAUGGUCUUGCCGGGUAAUGAGCAGUCAGGUAUAGGAUGGGCCUGAGCUCGAUUAGCCAGUUGGCAGGGGAAAAGCCUACCAAAGCAACGAUCGGUAGCCGGACUGAGAGGUCGGGCGGACACAUUGGGACUGAGACGCGGCCGAGACUCCUACGGGAUGCAGCAGUGGGGGAUAGUGCAAAAUGGAGGGAGCGCUGAUGCAGCGACGACGCGUGAGUGAAGUAAUAUUUCAGGAUGUAAAGCUCAAGCAGCAGUGAAGGUGAUGACGGUACCUGACCAGGAAGCCCCGGCUAACUACGUG
This 481-nucleotide ribosomal RNA is filed under the name uncultured bacterium. RNAcentral's name for it is "partial 16S ribosomal RNA". It matches the Rfam family "Bacterial small subunit ribosomal RNA", at positions 28 to 507 of the family's 1533-position model. The record is from RNAcentral.